RNAcentral lists this ribosomal RNA (459 nucleotides) under Prevotella nigrescens. RNAcentral's name for it is "bacterial SSU rRNA". It matches the Rfam family "Bacterial small subunit ribosomal RNA", at positions 28 to 473 of the family's 1533-position model. Lineage: Bacteria; Pseudomonadati; Bacteroidota; Bacteroidia; Bacteroidales; Prevotellaceae. The record is from RNAcentral.
GAUGAACGCUGGCUACAGGCUUAACACAUGCAAGUCGUGGGGAAACGGCAUUAUGUGCUUGCACAUUCUGGACGUCGACCGGCGCACGGGUGAGUAUCGCGUAUCCAACCUGCCCCUUACUUGGGGAUACCCCGUUGAAAGACGGCCUAAUACCCGAUGUGUUUCAUUGACGGCAUCCGAUAUGAAACAAAGGUUUUUCCGGUAAGGGAUGGGGAUGCGUCUGAUUAGCUUGUUGGCGGGGCAACGGCCCACCAAGGCGACGAUCAGUAGGGGUUCUGAGAGGAAGGUCCCCCACAUUGGAACUGAGACACGGUCCAAACUCCUACGGGAGGCAGCAGUGAGGAAUAUUGGUCAAUGGACGCAAGUCUGAACCAGCCAAGUAGCGUGCAGGAUGACGGCCCUAUGGGUUGUAAACUGCUUUUAUGUGGGAAUAAAGUGGCGCACGUGUGCGCCAUUGCA